Molecule: long non-coding RNA, 1970 nt
Organism: Orcinus orca (killer whale)
Lineage: Eukaryota; Metazoa; Chordata; Mammalia; Artiodactyla; Delphinidae
Exons: 2
Source: RefSeq, a predicted model, not a curated record
UCCUGUGCUCAGACCUGCUGUACAACCUGUGUCUGAUGACUGGAAAGGCCUCUCUCUGGUUAUCUCUUAGGAAAACCUCUGUAACACAAUUCUUCCUAAAAAUGUCCUUUUAAAGUUGGUGACCCAUUCCAAUCAAACAAAUAGAAAGCACAUGAGGAGAAAAGUAAGGGGUGAGGCAUAACCUCACAACUCCAAAAUCAUCUUGCAAAUGAUAUGGUCCUUUCUUAUGAGGAUGAUUGUAUUUUCAAUGUUUCAUAUAGUGAAAGACAAAUAUAAAAAGUAAAACAUCUUACUGUGCCCUCAGAUGCUUUCGGAGAAACGACUGUUCUAACAGCAGAUGAACCUAGUGAGCUAGCCUGACGUCAUCCCACGAAGCCUUGGGUGCAUUAGGCUGCCACAAGCUGUGCCAACAAAACUAGAGCAGAAAGGAGAGAGAUCUGUCCUGAGCCGGAGGCCAGGGACCAAGAGGAGUGAGGCAGGCCUUGGCCGCCCUUGUUUCUGGGCUGGUUUUAGCAGAGUAGAUCUCAUCUGCCAGUCCUGCAGGGUGGCAUAUUUAAGGGAAAGGAAAUGUACCAUAGGAUUUCAGCUUCACUAAAAAUCUGCAGGCAUUAUUAUCCAUAAACAGUAACUAGUUGAUUCUCUGUCAGUCAGGGUACAACCUCUUUCUUCUGACACUAGUGAACUGUUACUAAAAAGCAUAAGAAAAUUAAAAAUGACCACAGCCCUUCUCUUAGCUUCUCUGGAGGCAGUACAGAGACUGGUCAAAGGAGACAGGAAUUCAGCUGAAGAGUUAGCUAAAUCAGAAAUCAAGGAAAAGCUAGUAGAAUUACAACUGUGAGCAUAAGGUGAGUAUGUAUAUAGGAAAACAGCAUAAACAGGCACAUACCUAGAUAGGACCUCUGGAUCACUCCUGGGACUGUCUCAUCUUUCUGAAAGAGGUAUACUAGCUGCAUGGUUCCCCUAUGGCACAGCGAAAAGCACACAGAAACACAGUAUGGUUUUGGUUAACAAUUAUUGGCAGCUCAACCUAUUUGAAGAAUUCCUAUUUGAAGAAUUAUUUUUAAUUAAAAGGAAGUUUAUUUUUAGGGGACCAGAAAUUAGCUGUAAUUAUGAGUUUUUAUGAAUUGAGACGUCUGAGUGUAGAACAAGCUAAUGACACUGCAUUUUAGUAAAGGCAUGUUUUCACUAUUGGAUUAGAAGGACGCAUACCUUCAUAUUGCCAUUAUUAUAGAAAGUGUUAUGCUUUACUAAAUGACAGGGCCUAUGUUUAAACAUGAUUAUUCUUUACCUGAGGAUUUUUAUUUUCUCAAUGCCUGAACAUACCACAUAGCAAGCAGCAGGAGGAGAGGGUUAAAAUUUACAACGUUAGAAGCAGGUUUUCAUAUAGGAUAUCAAACCAUACUAACCCCAUAUUCAAAAUUAUAUAAAUUGUACUUCUACUGAGUAUAUGGCAAAUAUGUAAAAACCCAGCAUACAGGAAAAAAGUCUAAUACCUGACAGUCUAAUGUAUUAUCCUAAUAGGCGGAUUAAAUUUUCACUCUACUAAGUAUUAACUGUAGUUCCAAGCAUUGAUUCUGAAAUACUUAACAAAAAUACCUUAGGGAUUUAAUCUCUCCUGAACACAAACCUGAACUUAUACAAUUUAACUCAAAAUUACCUUUUAAGAUAUCAGAACACAUUUACAUAUUUGCAAUUUUUAUCUAUUACCUGUAUAUGCCAAAACUUUCAUCAAGGCUUCAAUACUGGAAUUGUUCUAUGCCUUUGUAUCACAGACCUACAGAGAUUUGAAGUGAGUUUGGGAAUAAACUCAGGUCUCUGAAUUCCCUAUUCCAUGCUCCAUCUGCAUAGCUAUUACUAAGGUAAUGACAAUAAAUCCUGAAUUUAGAGUGAGUUUAAUAUUGCAAUUCCAAAACAUAAAGCUUGUACAACUCUUGGAAUAACUCACCAAAAUAAAUGGCUUUUUACUAUGA